ACAUAAAAAAGCAUUUCCAGGCCUAACAGAUGUCCCACAAUUUUAUGUUAUUAUAUAUUGUUUCACAAAACGGACAUAAUAAAAACAUGGCGAAAAGUAAAAACAGGGAACCCUCGCACACCCGUUGACAAAAAUGACCAUUAUCAACAUUAAUUAAAUUAAAUGACCGUGUUGUUCUGGUUACUGCUCCAAUUGUCAAUUUAAAAUUAAAACGACUUUAGUUUGAUGAGAAAAAACAAAAAUAGUAGCAAUUAUUUUCUUUGUCUUAUGUUCUAUUUUGUUGAAAGAAAAUUAUAACUUUGGUGUUUUUAAUACCCUAUCAUGUUGAGCGCGCUAUGGUGUGUCUAUGUUCAAAAACAAGUGUUAGUCAAUUUCUGUCGAAAACAGAGCAUUAUCGCAGAUAUAUUUGACAAAUAGAGGAAUAAGAAUAACCUUGGUUGGGAAUUCAGUGUUCUUAUAAGAUGAUGCUUUUAUUCGUAGAGCGACCACACACUAUGUAUCAAUCGAUAUUAGGAAUUUAGCAAGCGGUUAGAGGGUGGAUUUCACUCCGGCAACGUAGAAAGGAUCCUCAAUAUUACAACAUCUAGAUCCAUUCAUGAUGAUCUUGUUUUAUCAGAUGCCUUCGGUGCUGUAAACAAUAUGCCUGGAAAUUCCCUCCAUGUAAUGAAGCAGUAAUGUUGUUAAAAUGUAAAAUGUUUCCAAUACACAAUUUAUUUAUAUAAUUACUGACAAUGAAUUGAUGUUAUUAUUGGCAUGACUCUGCAAAAAAAUUAUAUAGCCGUUAUCUUUAAAAACAAAACGUGCAUUCAUUAGUUUUUGCUAAAAUAAAGGAAUUAAUCUUAAUUCGUUGCUAUCCACACAAUAACCCAGUCACCAUACAUUCAUCAUACAUUCACCAUACAUUUACUACACACUCACCAUACAUUCACAAUACAAUCACCAUACAUUCACCUACAUUCACCAUACAUUCAACAUACAUUCGCCAUACAUUCAACAUGCAUUCCCUAUACAUUGACCAUACAUUCAUCAUACAUUGACCAUACAUUUACCAUACAUUCACAAUACAAU
Molecule: long non-coding RNA, 1068 nt
Organism: Hydractinia symbiolongicarpus
Lineage: Eukaryota; Metazoa; Cnidaria; Hydrozoa; Anthoathecata; Hydractiniidae
Exons: 3
Source: RefSeq, a predicted model, not a curated record